GUGAAUCAUCGAAUUUUUGAACGCAAAUUGCACUCUCGGGAAUUCCGGAGAGGAUUCCUGUUUGAGGGGCAGUUUAAAUAAAAAUCGGUGUGGUUGCUGCCUUUCGUGGUGAAGGACCGGAUUUGGGUAGUCUGGGCUUCGGGUAAGUGACCUAAAAUUUUGCAUGAGUUUUUCGAACGUAUUUAAAUGGCUUUGAGGAAGGUUGCGAUAUCGAAUACUAGGUGUGGUAAUCCUCAUGAUUGGCGACUAUAAGAUUUCAUCAA
This 263-nucleotide unclassified non-coding RNA is filed under the name Glomus sp. Its description in RNAcentral is "partial internal transcribed spacer 2". The stretch from base 1 to 71 matches the Rfam family "5.8S ribosomal RNA", at positions 84 to 154 of the family's 154-position model. Lineage: Eukaryota; Fungi; Glomeromycota; Glomeromycetes; Glomerales; Glomeraceae. The record is from RNAcentral.